AGAGAAUAGUUUAUUUAAAAUUUUAAUUUUGGAGAUUAAAGAUGGAAGUAUUUUCUUUCUCUGA
This 64-nucleotide transfer RNA is filed under the name Glaphyrus comosus. RNAcentral's name for it is "tRNA-Pro". The record is from RNAcentral. Lineage: Eukaryota; Metazoa; Arthropoda; Insecta; Coleoptera; Glaphyridae.